GACGAACGCUGGCGGCGUGCUUAACACAUGCAAGUCGAACGGAAAGGCCCUGCUUGCAGGGUACUCGAGUGGCGAACGGGUGAGUAACACGUGGGUGAUCUGCCCUGCACUUCGGGAUAAGCUUGGGAAACUGGGUCUAAUACCGGAUAGGAGCCAUCUUUAGUGUGGUGGUUGGAAAGUUUUUUCGGUGUAGGAUGAGCUCGCGGCCUAUCAGCUUGUUGGUGGGGUAAUGGCCUACCAAGGCGGCGACGGGUAGCCGGCCUGAGAGGGUGUACGGCCACAUUGGGACUGAGAUACGGCCCAGACUCCUACGGGAGACAGCAGUGGGGAAUAUUGCACAAUGGGCGCAAGCCUGAUGCAGCGACGCCGCGUGGGGGAUGAAGGCCUUCGGGUUGUAAACUCCUUUCGCUAGGGACGAAGCUUUGUUGUGACGGUACCUAGAUAAGAAGCACCGGCUAACUACGUG
Molecule: ribosomal RNA, 466 nt
Filed under: uncultured bacterium
Lineage: Bacteria
Description: partial 16S ribosomal RNA
Rfam family: Bacterial small subunit ribosomal RNA
Source: RNAcentral